This is a long non-coding RNA of Sebastes umbrosus (honeycomb rockfish), 149 nucleotides long. RefSeq lists it as uncharacterized. The record is from RefSeq and is a predicted model, not a curated record. The transcript has 3 exons. NCBI's taxonomy places the organism in Eukaryota, Metazoa, Chordata, Actinopteri, Perciformes, Sebastidae.
GACGACAUGACAGCUCUCCAAAAGUGAAGCCAAAACAACUCGAUCGCCCCCUGGUGGCUGGCUGCAGUAUCGGUCAUAAAGCCUGCCCCCUCCAUGUCAGCGGAUGGGACAUGGGUCAAACAAAAAAGUCAAAGUCAAAUACACUUUUC